RNAcentral lists this transfer RNA (87 nucleotides) under Xylaria intraflava. RNAcentral describes it as "tRNA-Thr". It matches the Rfam family "tRNA". Rfam says of the family: Transfer RNA (tRNA) molecules are approximately 80 nucleotides in length. Their secondary structure includes four short double-helical elements and three loops (D, anti-codon, and T loops). Lineage: Eukaryota; Fungi; Ascomycota; Sordariomycetes; Xylariales; Xylariaceae. The record is from RNAcentral.
GCCCGCUUGGCUAAGUGGUAUAGCGUGUCACUAGUACCAAAUCUAGAUGUCAUGACAAGAUCAGCGGUUCGAUUCCGCUAGUGGGCA